Molecule: long non-coding RNA, 983 nt
Filed under: Homo sapiens (human)
Lineage: Eukaryota; Metazoa; Chordata; Mammalia; Primates; Hominidae
Description: non-protein coding lnc-ZNF711-1:2
Source: RNAcentral
GGCCGUAGGCACAUGUGAAGCUUUCUUGCCAAUCUUCAUUGAACUCACACUUCAAAAGUCAUGGUUUUCUCUUUGUUUUAUUGUAAUUUUCUGUUUUAUUAUAAAGAAGAUUGCAGAAAAGAGGCAGAAUAGGAGAGCUGAAAGACAAAAAAAGAGUAUCUAAACAACAGAGGACACAUACUGGAAUCUCUGGAGCUCAUCCCUUCAGAGGGCCCUUCCCAGAAGAACUGUAUCUCCACUUCCUCGGUUCUCUGGAAUAAAUUACAACCUUAUGACUCAUGAGUCCAAACAGGACAGUCUUUACGUCUACCCAUCUUAUGACUGAUGUGGCUCUCAAGGAACAAUAAAACCUAAGCAAAUUAUGGGAACAAGCAUUUAUCAACCACGCAAAUGAAGCCAUUCUUUAGUUUUUCUACACCAGGAGUUCCAAAAUCAAGCUACAUUCAAAGAGAGAAACAACACAUUGGAUACUCAAGUUAUGAACCGUGAGAAGAGUCAGAAAUUCCUUAUAGGAUAGAACAUGUGCAAUUGAAAUCUAAUAUUAAGUUUUCUGUGGAAAAACACAUAUAUGUGUACUAUAUGGCUAUCUGAUCAUUUUAAAAACAUACUCAGAAUACUUUAAUAAAACACUGUGAGUAUGAAUUAUCUAUGCUUUAAACACUUUACUUCUCUUUCUGCAUUUAUGCCAUCACUUCUUAUCUCUUCAUACCUUGAACUUUUUCUUUUCCCCCUCUCUCACUCUAUGACUCCUGAACAAAACUGUCAUUUCCAAUAUCUAACUUCAUUAACUAAGUAGGGAUGGCAGAUGUUUAUUAUCACCAAAAUGCAGCAUAACAUUUGCAAACUGGUUUAUGACAUGCAUCUUUAUAAAGUGCUCAGUGAAAUGCAUAAACGAUUGAUUGAAAAUUGGUCAAAGAGAAUAUUGAGUACUUUAUUAGUUACUGGCUAAAGCUAAGGAGUUACAGAAAAGCAUCAUAUCUAAA